Molecule: ribosomal RNA, 206 nt
Filed under: uncultured bacterium
Lineage: Bacteria
Description: partial 16S ribosomal RNA
Rfam family: Bacterial small subunit ribosomal RNA
Source: RNAcentral
UGUGUAGGUGGCGCCGUAAGUCGGGUGUGAAAUUUCGGAGCUUAACUCCGAAACUGCAUUCGAUACUGCGGUGCUUGAGGACUGGAGAGGAGACUGGAAUUCAUGGUGUAGCAGUGAAAUGCGUAGAGAUCAUGAGGAAGACCAGUGGCGAAGGCGGGUCUCUGGACAGUUCCUGACACUGAGACACGAAGGCCAGGGAGCAAACG